UAAACCUAAAUAGUCCUAAAACAAGACUAUUCGCCAGAGUACUAUCGGCAACAGCCCAAAACUCAAAGGACUUGGCGGUGCUUCAUAUCCUUCUAGAGGAGCCUGUUCUGUAAACGAUAAACCACGAUCAACCUCACCAACCCUUGCUACUUCAGUCUAUAUACCGCCAUCUUCAGCAAACCCUAAAAAGGAACGAAAGUAAGCACAACUAUCACACAUAAAAACGUUAGGUCAAGGUGUAACCUAUGGGUUGGGAAGAAAUGGGCUACAUUUUCUAYACAACAAGAACACCCCUUAAACUUACACGAAAGUCUUUAUGAAACCUAAAGACUAAAGGAGGAUUUAGCAGUAAAUUAAGAAUAGAAUGCUUAAUUGAAUAAGGCCA
This 385-nucleotide ribosomal RNA is filed under the name Phocoena phocoena (harbor porpoise). RNAcentral describes it as "partial 12S ribosomal RNA". It matches the Rfam family "Bacterial small subunit ribosomal RNA", at positions 875 to 1374 of the family's 1533-position model. The record is from RNAcentral. Lineage: Eukaryota; Metazoa; Chordata; Mammalia; Artiodactyla; Phocoenidae.